ACAAGGUCCCUUCGGGGGAGUUGAGACAGGUGGUGCAUGGUUGUCGUCAGCUCGUGUCGUGAGAUGUUGGGUUAAGUCCCGCAACGAGCGCAACCCUUAUGAUCAGUUACUAACGGGUAGUGCCGAGGACUCUGAUAAGACUGCCGGGGACAACUCGGAGGAAGGUGGGGACGACGUCAAAUCAUCAUGCCCCUUAUGACCUGGGCUACAGACGUGCUACAAUGGCGACUACAAAGAGGUGCAAGACCGUAAGGUUAAGCGGAUCUCAAAAAAAGUCGUCCCAGUUCGGACUGUGGGCUGCAACCCGCCCACACGAAGUUGGAGUUGCUAGUAAUCGCGGAUCAGCAUGCCGCGGUGAAUACGUUCCCGGGCCUUGUACACACCGCCCGUCACACCAUGGGAGUUGGGAGCACCCGAAG
RNAcentral lists this ribosomal RNA (419 nucleotides) under uncultured bacterium. RNAcentral's name for it is "bacterial SSU rRNA". It matches the Rfam family "Bacterial small subunit ribosomal RNA", at positions 1009 to 1426 of the family's 1533-position model. The record is from RNAcentral.